AAGUCUUAACGGAGAAAGCUUUAUGCGCCGAAGGAUGAGCCUGCACUUGAUUAGUUUGUUGGUAGGGUAAUGGCCUACCAAGACUUUGAUCUAUAGCUGAUCUGAGAGGAUGAUCAGCCACAUUGGGACUGAGACACGGCCCAAACUCCUACGGGAGGCAGCAGUAGGGAAUAUUGCACAAUGGAGGAAACUCUGAUGCAGCGAUGCCGCGUGAGUGAAGAAGGCCUUUGGGUUGUAAAGCUCUUUCGUCGGGGAAGAAAAUGACUGUACCCGAAUAAGAAGGUCCGGCUAACUUCGUGCCAGCAGCCGCGGUAAUACGAAGGGACCUAGCGUAGUUCGGAAUUACUGGGCUUAAAGAGUUCGUAGGUGGUUAAAAAAGUUGGUGGUGAAAUCCCAGAGCUUAACUCUGGAACUGCCAUCAAAACUUUUUAGCUAGAGUAUGAUAGAGGAAAGCAGAAUUUCUAGUGUAGAGGUGAAAUUCGUAGAUAUUAGAAAGAAUACCAAUUGCGAAGGCAGCUUUCUGGAUCAUUACUGACGCUGAGGAACGAAAGCAUGGGUAGCGAAGAGGAUUAGAUACCCCUCGUAGUCCAUGCCGUAACGAUGUGUGUUAGACGUUGGGAAAUUUAUUUU
This 630-nucleotide ribosomal RNA is filed under the name uncultured Alphaproteobacteria bacterium. RNAcentral describes it as "bacterial SSU rRNA". It matches the Rfam family "Bacterial small subunit ribosomal RNA", at positions 189 to 838 of the family's 1533-position model. Lineage: Bacteria; Pseudomonadati; Pseudomonadota; Alphaproteobacteria. The record is from RNAcentral.